Molecule: non-coding RNA, 72 nt
Organism: Phrynosoma platyrhinos (Desert horned lizard)
Lineage: Eukaryota; Metazoa; Chordata; Lepidosauria; Squamata; Phrynosomatidae
Source: the annotation of a GenBank genome assembly
GUCAGUGUGGUGUAGUGGUUUGAGCAUUUGACUAUGACUCUGGAGACCAGGGUUCAAACCCAGGUUUAGCCA